Molecule: ribosomal RNA, 385 nt
Filed under: Navicula gregaria
Lineage: Eukaryota; Bacillariophyta; Bacillariophyceae; Naviculales; Naviculaceae
Description: SSU rRNA
Rfam family: Eukaryotic small subunit ribosomal RNA
Source: RNAcentral
AUUCCAGCUCCAAUAGCGUAUAUUAAAGUUGUUGCAGUUAAAAAGCUCGUAGUUGGAUUUGUGGCGUACGACGGGCUCCGGGCACUUGUUGUCUGAGUAGCUUGUCGUUGCCAUCCUUGGGUGGAAUCUGUGUGGCAUUAGGUUGUCGUGCAGGGGAUGCCCAUCUUUUACUGUGAAAAAAUUAGAGUGUUCAAAGCAGGCUUAUGCCGUUGAAUAUAUUAGCAUGGAAUAAUAAGAUAGGACUUUGUCGCUAUUUUGUUGGUUUGCGCGAUAAGGUAAUGAUUAAUAGGGACAGUUGGGGGUAUUCGUAUUCCAUUGUCAGAGGUGAAAUUCUUGGAUUUCUGGAAGACGAACUACUGCGAAAGCAUUUACCAAGGAUGUUUUC